UUAAGCGACUAAGCGUACACGGUGGAUGCCUAGGCAGUCAGAGGCGAUGAAGGGCGUGCUAAUCUGCGAAAAGCGUCGGUAAGGUGAUAUGAACCGUUAUAACCGACGAUACCCGAAUGGGGAAACCCAGUGCAAUUCGUUGCACUAUUGCAUGGUGAAUACAUAGCCAUGCAAGGCGAACCGGGGGAACUGAAACAUCUAAGUACCCCGAGGAAAAGAAAUCAACCGAGAUUCCCCUAGUAGCGGCGAGCGAACGGGGAGGAGCCCAGAGUCUGAAUCAGUUUGUGUGUUAGUGGAAGCGUCUGGAAAGUCGCACGGUACAGGGUGAUAGUCCCGUACACCAAAAUGCACAGGCUGUGAACUCGAUGAGUAGGGCGGGACACGUGACAUCCUGUCUGAAUAUGGGGGGACCAUCCUCCAAGGCUAAAUACUCCUGACUGACCGAUAGUGAACCAGUACCGUGAGGGAAAGGCGAAAAGAACCCCGGCGAGGGGAGUGAAAUAGAACCUGAAACCGUGUACGUACAAGCAGUGGGAGCACCUUCGUGGUGUGACUGCGUACCUUUUGUAUAAUGGGUCAGCGACUUAUAUUUUGUAGCAAGGUUAACCGAAUAGGGGAGCCGUAGGGAAACCGAGUCUUAACUGGGCGUCUAGUUGCAAGGUAUAGACCCGAAACCCGGUGAUCUAGCCAUGGGCAGGUUGAAGGUUGGGUAACACUAACUGGAGGACCGAACCGACUAAUGUUGAAAAAUUAGCGGAUGACUUGUGGCUGGGGGUGAAAGGCCAAUCAAACCGGGAGAUAGCUGGUUCUCCCCGAAAGCUAUUUAGGUAGCGCCUCGUGAACUCAUCUUCGGGGGUAGAGCACUGUUUCGGCUAGGGGGCCAUCCCGGCUUACCAAACCGAUGCAAACUCCGAAUACCGAAGAAUGUUAUCACGGGAGACACACGGCGGGUGCUAACGUCCGUCGUGAAGAGGGAAACAACCCAGACCGCCAGCUAAGGUCCCAAAGUCAUGGUUAAGUGGGAAACGAUGUGGGAAGGCAUAGACAGCCAGGAUGUUGGCUUAGAAGCAGCCAUCAUUUAAAGAAAGCGUAAUAGCUCACUGGUCGAGUCGGCCUGCGCGGAAGAUGUAACGGGGCUAAACCAUGCACCGAAGCUGCGGCAGCGACACUUAGGUGUUGUUGGGUAGGGGAGCGUUCUGUAAGCCGUUGAAGGUGACCUGUGAGGGUUGCUGGAGGUAUCAGAAGUGCGAAUGCUGACAUAAGUAACGAUAAUGCGGGUGAAAAACCCGCACGCCGGAAGACCAAGGGUUCCUGUCCAACGUUAAUCGGGGCAGGGUGAGUCGACCCCUAAGGCGAGGCUGAAAAGCGUAGUCGAUGGGAAACAGGUUAAUAUUCCUGUACUUGGUGUUACUGCGAAGGGGGGACGGAGAAGGCUAGGCUAGCCGGGCGACGGUUGUCCCGGUUUAAGCAUGUAGGCGGAGCGACUUGGUAAAUCCGGUUGCUUAUCAACGCUGAGGUGUGAUGACGAGUCACUACGGUGAUGAAGUAGUUGAUGCCAAGCUUCCAGGAAAAGCCUCUAAGCAUCAGGUAACAUUAAAUCGUACCCCAAACCGACACAGGUGGUCAGGUAGAGAAUACUCAGGCGCUUGAGAGAACUCGGGUGAAGGAACUAGGCAAAAUGGUGCCGUAACUUCGGGAGAAGGCACGCUGGCAUUAGGUAAUGGGACUUGCUCCCGGCGCCGAAGCCAGUCGCAGAUACCAGCUGGCUGCAACUGUUUAAUAAAAACACAGCACUGUGCAAACACGAAAGUGGACGUAUACGGUGUGACGCCUGCCCGGUGCUGGAAGGUUAAUUGAUGGGGUCAGCCGCAAGGCGAAGCUCUUGAUCGAAGCCCCAGUAAACGGCGGCCGUAACUAUAACGGUCCUAAGGUAGCGAAAUUCCUUGUCGGGUAAGUUCCGACCUGCACGAAUGGCGUAAUGAUGGCCAGGCUGUCUCCACCCGAGACUCAGUGAAAUUGAACUCGCUGUGAAGAUGCAGUGUACCCGCGGCAAGACGGAAAGACCCCGUGAACCUUUACUAUAGCUUGACACUGAACAUUGAGCCUUGAUGUGUAGGAUAGGUGGGAGGCAUUGAAGUGUGGACGCCAGUCUGCAUGGAGCCAACCUUGAAAUACCACCCUUUAAUGUUUGAUGUUCUAACUCGGCCCCGUAAUCCGGGGUGAGGACAGUGUCUGGUGGGUAGUUUGACUGGGGCGGUCUCCUCCCAAAGAGUAACGGAGGAGCACGAAGGUUAGCUAAUCACGGUCGGACAUCGUGAGGUUAGUGCAAAGGCAUAAGCUAGCUUGACUGCGAGAGUGACGGCUCGAGCAGGUACGAAAGUAGGUCUUAGUGAUCCGGUGGUUCUGAAUGGAAGGGCCAUCGCUCAACGGAUAAAAGGUACUCCGGGGAUAACAGGCUGAUACCGCCCAAGAGUUCAUAUCGACGGCGGUGUUUGGCACCUCGAUGUCGGCUCAUCACAUCCUGGGGCUGAAGUAGGUCCCAAGGGUAUGGCUGUUCGCCAUUUAAAGUGGUACGCGAGCUGGGUUUAGAACGUCGUGAGACAGUUCGGUCCCUAUCUGCCGUGGGCGUUGGAAGAUUGAGAGGGGCUGCUCCUAGUACGAGAGGACCGGAGUGGACGAAUCACUGGUGUUCGGGUUGUCAUGCCAAUGGCAUUGCCCGGUAGCUAAAUUCGGAAGAGAUAACCGCUGAAAGCAUCUAAGCGGGAAACUUGCCUCGAGAUGAGUCUUCCCUGGGGCUUUAAGCCCCCUGAAGGAACGUUAAAGACUAUGACGUUGAUAGGCUGGGUGUGUAAGUGCAGCGAUGCAUUGAGCUAACCAGUACUAAUGAUCCGUGAGGCUUAACCUU
This 2905-nucleotide ribosomal RNA is filed under the name Yersinia kristensenii. RNAcentral describes it as "bacterial LSU rRNA". It matches the Rfam family "Bacterial large subunit ribosomal RNA". RNAcentral also lists the same sequence under 1 other name. Lineage: Bacteria; Pseudomonadati; Pseudomonadota; Gammaproteobacteria; Enterobacterales; Yersiniaceae. The record is from RNAcentral.